This is a non-coding RNA of Plectropomus leopardus (leopard coralgrouper), 254 nucleotides long. The record is from RefSeq and is a predicted model, not a curated record. NCBI's taxonomy places the organism in Eukaryota, Metazoa, Chordata, Actinopteri, Perciformes, Serranidae.
CCUGAGCCGUCAGUGGAGGAUUGGCGUGACGCUAGCGGAUGCAGCAUCAACUUCCCCGUUCCCUGCGUUCAGACGGCGAUCUGCAGCAUCAGCGGAGAGGAAUAUGUGCUCGGUCUGACGGACAGGUCGCACCUGUACGCUGCAGACACAGAGCUGGCCUCCAAUAUUUCCUCCUUCGCUGUUUGCAACGACUUCCUCCUCAUCACCACACACUCACACACCUGCCGCUGCCUCCAGCUGAGCACGCUCAGUGU